RNAcentral lists this ribosomal RNA (233 nucleotides) under uncultured bacterium. RNAcentral's name for it is "partial 16S ribosomal RNA". It matches the Rfam family "Bacterial small subunit ribosomal RNA", at positions 103 to 334 of the family's 1533-position model. The record is from RNAcentral.
CGGGUGAGUAACGCGUGAGGAACCUGCCUCAAAGAGGGGGACAACAGUUGGAAACGACUGCUAAUACCGCAUAAGCCCACAGCUCGGCAUCGAGCAGAGGGAAAAGGAGCAAUCCGCUUUGAGAUGGCCUCGCGUCCGAUUAGCUAGUUGGUGAGGUAACGGCCCACCAAGGCGACGAUCGGUAGCCGGACUGAGAGGUCGAACGGCCACAUUGGGACUGAGACACGGCCCAG